AUAGCUUCUCGGCCUAAUGGUUAAGAUCAAAGUGUCGUAUCUGUUCUUAUUAGUUUAACACCUAAUAGUUCCCUCAUAGAGGAACAAUGUUAUUAAAUUGAUUUUUGGAAGCCGGCGAAGUGCUAGGAGCUUGCUCCGCCUUUGCCACGGGAUGGCCUGGUAUUGCAGUACCGCCAGAAAUAUGAUACUUUAA
Molecule: small nuclear RNA, 193 nt
Filed under: Phlebotomus papatasi
Lineage: Eukaryota; Metazoa; Arthropoda; Insecta; Diptera; Psychodidae
Description: U2 spliceosomal RNA
Rfam family: U2 spliceosomal RNA
About the family: U2 is a small nuclear RNA (snRNA) component of the spliceosome (involved in pre-mRNA splicing). Complementary binding between U2 snRNA (in an area lying towards the 5' end but 3' to hairpin I) and the branchpoint sequence (BPS) of the intron results the bulging out of an unpaired adenosine, on the BPS, which initiates a nucleophilic attack at the intronic 5' splice site, thus starting the first of two transesterification reactions that mediate splicing.
Source: RNAcentral